GGGGUCGCCUGGUUUUGACAGCAUAGAUCUUUGAAAGUGUAAGCAUGUCGUGCGUUGUAUAAUUAGCACGUAAAUCUGAAUAUACAACCUUUAAUUGGCGAAUCUAACUACGCCAUGGCUGCCUAAUCAGCGAUUAGCGCACCCAUUUUGGCCGCCGCAGUUGCUGUCUGCUAGAACUGCCGCCGCCUAAUCAAAACCUUAGCGGAAUAGGUACUCAUGGUUUCUGUGAGUGAGUACUGAAACUAAACGGAUAAGGACCAGGCUGGUUAGUUGCGCCCCUGGCAAGGUCCCGACAAACUAAUGCGUAAAUAAGCAUGUAGAAAGCUUUCGGCGGAUAUGUUUGGACGCGGGUUCGAUUCCCGCCGACUCCACAA
This is a non-coding RNA of Chitinophaga pinensis DSM 2588, 374 nucleotides long. NCBI's taxonomy places the organism in Bacteria, Pseudomonadati, Bacteroidota, Chitinophagia, Chitinophagales, Chitinophagaceae. The record is from Rfam.